Erythranthe guttata (spotted monkey flower) is the source of this 1368-nucleotide non-coding RNA. Lineage: Eukaryota; Viridiplantae; Streptophyta; Magnoliopsida; Lamiales; Phrymaceae. The record is from RefSeq and is a predicted model, not a curated record.
AUGGUGACACGUGGCAUAUUUAGGGUUUCAAACCCUAGGGCCGUUUUUGUAAUAUCUUGGUUUUCUAAUGGCGUUUUGUUAAAUUUCAGUCGGUCAGUUUUAUUAGCAUUUGGCAGUUUUUUAAAAUAAAAUCUCCACAGGAUAUUAAAUUCAUUUCCUAUCCGAAAACUUCCAUUUAUCAGAAAAAACACACCGUUUCAUCUCCCCUAGAUUUCUCACGUUUUCCAUCUCCUCUAAAUUUCUCUCUCAAUACUCACUCCUUCAACUUUCAACUGCUUUUCAUGUCUCAUCCGUAUAUCAACCCGAAUUUUCACACAAAUCUUUGAACAAUUAUUAGUUCCCAGAGAAUUAAAUCUCUAAAAUCCACCUGCCAAGAAUUCAACAAAAUUUGUCGGGAAGCGGGAGUGAAAAGGACCCCUUUGCGCAACCGCUCAGUGUUUGCCAGCGAAAGCCACUGCCGGUGAUCGAAAUUUCAACAGAUGGUGAUAUGGUGAUGGUGAUAAAACUGUCAGGGACAUCAAAGUCCUUUUUCGGAGAAAAGAUGACUUAGUCUAAUGGAAAUCCCUUUGAUGCGACAUGUCUUAUGUACUUGACUCAGUUGGAGGUAGAAUAUUAGUAGUAACGACUUUCAUUUACAGUCUUCAAUUUUAUAUAUUGAUGAUUUAACAAAAAACGGGCUAUAGCAACGUGCUGAAAGGUUGUGGAGAAGCAGAUGAGACAUAUAUGUGAUGUGGCAGAGUCAAGAAAGGCAUAAAUGUUGGCUUACACAGACGUGCAUACUUUACAAACACGGGGGGCUUCCCUAGAUGUCACUCUUGAUUUUAUUGGGGAUGCAUUUGCCAAGAGGAGAAGGAGCAGGCGUUCAAAUUUUGACUUCGACAAGCGCCUCUAGAGUCAAAGCAUCAUUGCUCGGGUUAAACUCUUACAAAUGCAAGCUACAAUAUACAAUUAGUAAUUUCAUAGUAUAAUUUUUCUUACGAUUACUAAAAACUUUUUACUACGAUCACGACAAUGGUAUAGUUUAUAAUUAUUGUAUUUUAUGAUUACGACUACGGGUAUACAACUGUAAACAUUGGUUUAUGGAUGUUUGUAUUUAGGUAAUUUUAUGUUACUACGAAAUGAAUUUAAAUGGAAUGUAUUUUUGUAUACGUAUUUUUAAUCGGUUUUGUUAAAAAACUAAAUAAUGGUGUUCGUCAAUUGCUCGAGUUGUAGAACAAAUGUAUGGCACGUUUAUUACUUUUUGAUUUAUUCAACAUACUUCAUUUCAUUAACAAUAAAUCCAUAUUAUGAUGAUUUAAGUUCAUAUAACCCUUUCUCAAUUUAAUUUUGCUAAUAUUUUUGUUACUAUAUAUUAUUUUAUUACUAUUU